AAGACUAUAGACCUGCGGAGUACCUGCGGAAGGAUCAUUAUUGAAUUAUGUUUCUAAAUGGGUUGUAGCUGGCUCGUCAGAGCAUGUGCACGCCUGUUUGGACUUCAUUUUCAUCCACCUGUGCACCUAUUGUAGUCUUUGGUUGGGUAUCAAGGAAGUGGUCAGCCUAUCAGCACUUGCUGGAUGUGGGGACUUGCAGUGUGAAAGCUUUGCUGUCCUUUACUUGAUCAUGGAGUUGUU
This 240-nucleotide unclassified non-coding RNA is filed under the name soil metagenome. Its description in RNAcentral is "partial contains 5.8S ribosomal RNA, internal transcribed spacer 2, and large subunit ribosomal RNA". The record is from RNAcentral.